GAUGAACGCUGACAGAAUGCUUAACACAUGCAAGUCAACCUGAAUUUGGGUUUUUAACUUAGGUUUGGGUGGCGGACGGGUGAGUAACGCGUAAAGAACUUGCCUCACAGCUAGGGACAACAUUUGGAAACGAAUGCUAAUACCUAAUAUUAUGAUAAUAGGGCAUCCUAUAAUUAUGAAAGCUAUAAGCGCUGUGAGAGAGCUUUGCGUCCCAUUAGCUAGUUGGAGAGGUAACGGCUCACCAAGGCGAUGAUGGGUAGCCGGCCUGAGAGGGUGAUCGGCCACAAGGGGACUGAGACACGGCCCUUACUCCUACGGGAGGCAGCAGUGGGGAAUAUUGGACAAUGGACCGAGAGUCUGAUCCAGCAAUUCUGUGUGCACGAUGAAGUUUUUCGGAAUGUAAAGUGCUUUCAGUUGGGAAGAAACAAAUGACGGUACCAACAGAAGAAGUGACGGCUAAAUACGUG
RNAcentral lists this ribosomal RNA (467 nucleotides) under uncultured bacterium. RNAcentral describes it as "partial 16S ribosomal RNA". It matches the Rfam family "Bacterial small subunit ribosomal RNA", at positions 28 to 507 of the family's 1533-position model. The record is from RNAcentral.